This 388-nucleotide long non-coding RNA is filed under the name Equus asinus (donkey). Its description in RNAcentral is "lncRNA (ENSEASG00005024347.1)". The record is from RNAcentral. Lineage: Eukaryota; Metazoa; Chordata; Mammalia; Perissodactyla; Equidae.
CGCCCAGCUUGUUUCAACAGUCGGAGCUCUCAGGUCUUCAUCUUCGUCCUCCCACUCUACACUGUCCUUUUCUUCAGACGCACUGAAAGAAGACUCAAAUGGCUGGAGGUGGACAAUUCACGGUUUCUAUGGAGUCCUCAUAGUCACCUGGGAUCCAGGCUACUUCCUGCUUCCCGCUCUGUCAUCCCUAGGGCACAGCCCCAGCCUCAGGUACAAGGUGGAGCUCCUGUCAUCAAAAUCAUGUUCCAGGCAAGGAAUGGAGGAAGGUACUUGCCAUCUAUCUCUCAAGGAAAUUUCCCAUGGGCUCUGGUUUGCAGGCUCGUGGCGCCACCUAACGCCUGUCGAGGACAUCGCUGCACAGGGAGAGGAUGCCUAACCAUAAACGUUG